RNAcentral lists this ribosomal RNA (448 nucleotides) under Streptococcus cristatus. RNAcentral's name for it is "bacterial SSU rRNA". It matches the Rfam family "Bacterial small subunit ribosomal RNA", at positions 28 to 460 of the family's 1533-position model. Lineage: Bacteria; Bacillati; Bacillota; Bacilli; Lactobacillales; Streptococcaceae. The record is from RNAcentral.
GACGAACGCUGGCGGCGUGCCUAAUACAUGCAAGUAGAACGCUGAAGGAGGAGCUUGCUCUUCUGGAUGAGUUGCGAACGGGUGAGUAACGCGUAGGUAACCUGCCUGGUAGCGGGGGAUAACUAUUGGAAACGAUAGCUAAUACCGCAUAACAUUGACUAUUGCAUGAUAGUCAAUUGAAAGGUGCAAAUGCACCACUACCAGAUGGACCUGCGUUGUAUUAGCUAGUUGGUGGGGUAACGGCUCACCAAGGCGACGAUACAUAGCCGACCUGAGAGGGUGAUCGGCCACACUGGGACUGAGACACGGCCCAGACUCCUACGGGAGGCAGCAGUAGGGAAUCUUCGGCAAUGGACGGAAGUCUGACCGAGCAACGCCGCGUAAAGUGAAAGAAAGGUUUUUCGGGAUUCGUAAAAGCUCUGUUGUAAAGAGAAAGAAACGAAGUGUG